Molecule: ribosomal RNA, 327 nt
Filed under: Escherichia coli
Lineage: Bacteria; Pseudomonadati; Pseudomonadota; Gammaproteobacteria; Enterobacterales; Enterobacteriaceae
Description: bacterial SSU rRNA
Rfam family: Bacterial small subunit ribosomal RNA
Source: RNAcentral
AAAUUGAAGAGUUUGAUCAUGGCUCAGAUUGAACGCUGGCGGCAGGCCUAACACAUGCAAGUCGAACGGUAACAGGAAGCAGCUUGCUGCUUCGCUGACGAGUGGCGGACGGGUGAGUAAUGUCUGGGAAACUGCCUGAUGGAGGGGGAUAACUACUGGAAACGGUAGCUAAUACCGCAUAACGUCGCAAGACCAAAGAGGGGGACCUUCGGGCCUCUUGCCAUCGGAUGUGCCCAGAUGGGAUUAGCUUGUUGGUGGGGUAACGGCUCACCAAGGCGACGAUCCCUAGCUGGUCUGAGAGGAUGACCAGCCACACUGGAACUGAGA